Molecule: long non-coding RNA, 482 nt
Organism: Lepidothrix coronata (blue-crowned manakin)
Lineage: Eukaryota; Metazoa; Chordata; Aves; Passeriformes; Pipridae
Exons: 3
Source: RefSeq, a predicted model, not a curated record
GGGGGCGGGCGCGGGCCGCGGGUCGACACCGCCCGGAGCGGAGCGGGCAGUGCUGCCCGCGCCUGUCGGGGGCUGGGGCGUCAUCCAGGGAUGCCCUUUCAAAAGUUUUGAAGAUGCUGAAUUAAAGAAUUCAACGAAGUGAUUUGCUGAGAGGGACAAGCUUCCAUUCCCGAUGCCUACUGAAUCAAGACUAUCUGGUUUUGUUCAGGCUGAAAAAUCAGGAGAGAGGAAAUGUAUCUAUGACUUAAUCUACCUCUUUUCAUAUCCUUGGGAUGUUACUGCAUGCAUUCUCUCAGUUACUUCCCAUUAUGUGCUGUGUGGGCAGGAUGUGCAUGUAAACAUGGUGUUUGUUUGCUGUAGUGGCACAAAAAUUUGUAACUUUGUACUGCUCAAAAGAUGAGAAACAAUUUUAGCACAGAUCUUCAAAGGAUGCCUUAUAAUGGGACUGCAAAGCAAUGUGCUCAUUUACAUUUAUAUUAGGA